UGUAAGCCAGGUUGGUUUCUAUCUUUAAUAAAUAAAAAUAUUUUAGUACGAAAGGAAUAAAUAUUUUUUAAAAAAUUAUUUUAAAAGUGAAUAAUAUUAAUUUAAUUUAACUAUUUUGGCAGAUAAGUGUAGUAAAUUUAGAAUUUAUAUAUGUGAUAUAAAUUCACAAAUAGUAUUGUAUUAUAUUGAAUUUUUGUUAUUUAUUAUUAGUAGAUUAUUAUUAGUAA
RNAcentral lists this ribosomal RNA (227 nucleotides) under Glossina medicorum. Its description in RNAcentral is "partial 16S ribosomal RNA". The record is from RNAcentral. Lineage: Eukaryota; Metazoa; Arthropoda; Insecta; Diptera; Glossinidae.